Molecule: ribosomal RNA, 465 nt
Filed under: uncultured bacterium
Lineage: Bacteria
Description: partial 16S ribosomal RNA
Rfam family: Bacterial small subunit ribosomal RNA
Source: RNAcentral
GACGAACGCUGGCGGCGUGCUUAACACAUGCAAGUCGAACGGAAAGGCCCUGCUUGCCGGGUACUCGAGUGGGGAACGGGUGAGUAACACGUGGGUGUUCCGCGCUGUACUUCGUGAUAAGCCUUCGGAAAUGGGUCUAUUACCGGGUAGGAGCCAUUCUGAGUGUGGUGGGGGGAAAGUUUUUUUGGUGUAGGGGGAGCGCGCGGCCUAUUAGCUUGUUGGUGGGGUGAUGGGCUACCCAGGAGGCGACGGGCAGCCGGCCUGGGGGGGUGGACGGCCCACUUGGGACUGGGAUACGGCCCCGACUCCCUCGGGGGGAAGGAGGUGGGAAUUAUGCACCAUGGGGGCGAGCCUGAUGGAGGGACGCCCCGUGGGGGAUGGCGGGCUUCGGGUUGGAAAAUCCUUUCGGUAGGGACGAAGGUUUUUGUGACGGUACCUAGAUAAGAAGCACCGGCUAACUACGUG